RNAcentral lists this ribosomal RNA (497 nucleotides) under uncultured bacterium. Its description in RNAcentral is "partial 16S ribosomal RNA". It matches the Rfam family "Bacterial small subunit ribosomal RNA", at positions 28 to 507 of the family's 1533-position model. The record is from RNAcentral.
GAUGAACGCUGGCGGCGUGCCUAAUACAUGCAAGUCGAGCGAACGGACGAGAAGCUUGCUUCUCUGAUGUUAGCGGCGGACGGGUGAGUAAGACGUGGAUAACCUACCUAUAAGACUGGGAUAACUUCGGGAAACCGGAUCUAAUACCGGAUGAUAUUUUGAACCGCAUGGUUCAAAAGUGAAAGACGGUCUUGCUGUCACUUAUAGAUGGAUCCGCGCUGCAUUAGCUAGUUGGUAAGGUAACGGCUUACCAAGGCAACGAUGCAUAGCCGACCUGAGAGGGUGAUCCGCCACACUGGAACUGAGACACGGUCCAGACUCCUACGGGAGGCAGCAGUAGGGAAUCUUCCACAAUGGGCGAAAGCCUGACGUAGCAACGCCGCGUGAGUGAUGAAGGUCUUCGGAUCGUAAAACUCUGUUAUUAGGGAAGAACAUAUGUGUAAGUAACUGUGCACAUCUUGACGGUACCUAAUCAGAAAGCCACGGCUAACUACGUG